UGUGGAUCUGUCUCCUGCUCGAACAGUGUUUGGACGGAACAGAUCCGGGGCCUCUUUCCUCCAGCCUCCUACCGCCCUCCCAUUUCCUCUCCACUUGGAACCUCCGGGACCAGAGACCAUCUUCUCGGCCGUCUCCUGCUUCUGGCACCUGCCAACACCGUUGUUGUGUUAGCUCCUUCUUGCCGACCAACCAUGAGCUCCCAGAUUCGUCAGAAUUAUUCCGCCGCGGUGGAGGCAGCAGUCAACCGCCUGGUCCAUGUGUGCCUGCAGGCCUCCUACACCCAUUUCUCUCUGGGCUUCUAUUUCGACCGCCGUGAUGUGGCUCUGGAAGGCACGAGCCCCUUCUUCAUUGGCCGAGGAGAAGCGCGAGGGCUGUGAGCGUCUCCUGAAGACGCAAAACCAGCGUGGCGGCCGCGCUCUCUUCCAGGACAUCAAGAAGCCAGCUCAAGAUGAGUGGGGUAAAACCCUGGACGCCAUGGAAGCCGCCAUGGCCCUGAAGAAAAUCUGAACCAGGCCCUUUUGCAUCUUCAUGCCCUGGGUUCUGCCCGCACGGACCCCCAUCCCUGUGACCUUCCGGAGCGUCACUUCCUAGAUGAGGAAGUGAAACUCACCAAGAAGAUGGGUGAACAACUGACCGACCUCCCAGGCUGGCCGGGCCGCAGGCUGGGCUGGGUGAGUAUCUCUUCGAAAGGCUCACUCUCAAGAAGAACUAAGAGUCUGUUGAGCCCAGAGACUUCUGAAUGGGCCCUUUUAAAGUAACACGGCUUCUGCCUAAGCCUCUCCCUGCAGCCAUUAGGCAGCUUUCUAACUAGCCUAACAAGCCUUGGACCAAAUGGAAAUAAAGCUUUUUGAAGCAAAAAAAAAAAAAAAAGAAAA
Sapajus apella (tufted capuchin) is the source of this 876-nucleotide RNA transcript. It is a transcript of the gene named ferritin light chain pseudogene, with no coding region annotated. The transcript has a single exon. NCBI's taxonomy places the organism in Eukaryota, Metazoa, Chordata, Mammalia, Primates, Cebidae. The record is from RefSeq and is a predicted model, not a curated record.